GAUCGCAACACUGACGACCUCCGUGGCAGGAUCAAUUUGGCUGAUCACCCCAAAGACAAGAAAAAGGUUUCUGGCUCCAACCCCCAACUUUGAGGGAUGGGAGAAUUUGUGAACGCCAUGGGAGGCCUAGGUGGACGCGAUCCGAGUAAAAUCACGCUGCAAAAAGCACGGUUUCAGACACCUUGAAAGGUUGGAUGACUGGAGAUAGAGGAGGAGGAAGUGGUGCCCUCAGCUCCCCAGCUCCAGAAAGAGGAAGUGGACAGUUCACUUGAGGUGACAGUGACUUUUCCUAAAGACAAAUUUUGUCAUGCAUUAUGGAAUUUUGUGCCAGGGUGGAUUAAAGCCAGACCGAGAGUCUCAUUGCAGCCUGAUAACGAAACAUCAACAAGUCAACUGAACGACAAUCCACACAGAAAAUAAGACUUCCAUCCACUCACUGCCAGGUGCUGCAUAUUUGAUCACUACAGAGAACGUUUCAAAUUUAGUUAAUUAUCAUAUUAACUUGAUUAUAGUCUUUGAUUAUCCACUGGUUUCAGCAAUUCGUCAUCUUUCUUAAACUAACACUUUGAAUCUGUUUCCAAUGGGACCAGUCCAGCUGCCCUAAUACAAGAUGUUCAAAAACUGAAUAGCAAUAGUGAGAGUUUGACUCACCAAUCAGGUAAAACACGGGGGCUGGACUUGAUAGUGGUAAAAGCAUGUUUUUUUGUUGAGAAAAUGUUUUUGUUGACAAUAGAUUAUGGACUAUGCAGAAUUCUCUGGAAAAGGAAAUAUAGGGCACAAAGUGUCCCAAAGAAACAUAAUGGCUAGAAAAGCAAAAAUAUUUGUCACUCCAUUUCAUUUGAAGGUAAUUUUCUGGAUUCAAUAAAAACAAUAAAUCUAAUUUGAAACUUUUGAAACCACAUGCUGUCAUCACCAAAAGGGUACGAGAUAGAAAUGUUUUAUUUUUGUCCGUGGAUCUGAGAUUGUGAGAAGAUCUCCAAAUCUUCUUUUAAAUAGCUUAUGAGCAACAACAAAAAGAUUGAAAAUUGAAAAAUUGCAAUCAAUGACAAAUUGCAUUUGAGAAAUUAGAACUGGUUUUCUCAACUGCAACUCUAGUCCUAUAUGAUUAUUAUUUUAAAGUGUUUAAUCUAUUUGAUUUUGAAAAGUUAGGUUUGAACCUACGCUGGUCUCAAGGUUAGGUUCGAUUACGAUUAUCAUGUUAUCGAUUUUAGUUCAAUUCGAUAUCACGAUGCAUAAUGAUGCACUGUGUCCUCAAUUUUCAAUUCAGAUUUCGAAAAGUGAUGUGUGUGUUUGCCUGUCCGUCACAAAGCAGAUAUUCAACAAAUGACGUCAGAAAAGCGUCAGCACAUUAUAAUUGGUAAUGGUCUAUUACUGAACCGAUGCUGUAUUGUCCUCAUUUGCAUAGCAAUGCAUUGUUGAAAUGAUUAAAUUCGACACCGCUAGUUUUUAAGGUGUAAACUUGGACACAUGGCGACUGCAUCGGAUCCUAACGUUUAGACACUGUCGCAAGGGGAAUGCCACAGUGUGUCUACGUUCAGUAGAUUCUGUCGUAAAAGUUGUUACCGUUCGGAUUUGGUGGUAUUCCACUCAAUAAUAGCCAAUAUAUUCCCCAUUCAGUUCAUAAACUGCUAAGGCAGACAAAAAGGUAUGAUUCUCUGGCCAGAGAGAGGGGUGUGUGAAAGUGUAUGAAUGUGAAUGUGUGAAAUACGGUGAUCUGAGGGACACCAAGACAAGUUAAUAUCAAUCAAAACACCUGUGUUUAAAUUUAUUAAGUGGAAUGGAAAAUUUUGCCUAACUAUUCUGAGUGUUUGAGUUAUUGUAGUGGCAGAAAGAAACAGUGCCACAGUGGAGACCACCACAUAUGGGCUGGGAGCCACAUGAUCAAAGAACAUUGCCUGAAACUGCUGUGUGUGAAAAAGAGAUGCUGCUGUAAAAAAAAAGCAGCUGUACCGGAGGUGGCAGACGGACCACUGCAUUCCAUCCGGCCUGGUGAUUUCGUGGUCAUCAAGGACUUUAGAAGGAAGCACUGGAGACAAAAGAGGUGGCAAGGGCCAUACCAGGUGCUACUGGUCACUCACACUGCCGUGAAGGUCGCAGAGAAGGUGCCGUGGAUCCAUGGGACGCACUGUCGAAAAAGUGCUGGAGCCAUUAACGGGAGAGCCAUCCCGCACACAGCCAGAGAAUUCGAGAAUUCAGAGCAAUUAGAUUGGGGCUGUUCAAUUGCUGACUUCUCAAUCCAACAAAACAGCCACUGGCCAAAAGACGAAGAACUGUGUUUAAACGACCCAAGCAUAUUAGGGGUGGUACAAAGGCACGCAAAAUAACUUUAUUCAUUCAACGGUGAAGGAGAAGCGGUGACGUUUCCAAGCAUAACAACUCGACCAGGACUCAGACCAUUGAUCUAUAGAACAACUGGGACAUUUGAUUUUGAACAACAACAUUUCUUGGCCUGGCAUGGGAAUGUGGGAGAUGUUGAGACUGAUGGAGUUAUUGAGGAAUGGAAGUAGUGCAGGAGAGGAUGCUGGCUGUACAAAUCUGAUGGAGCAUUACACACUAUGGGCAGUAAAGCUGCAGGUUGGAGAUAUAUGUAUGUGAA
Non-coding RNA from Pimephales promelas (fathead minnow), 2596 nucleotides. NCBI's taxonomy places the organism in Eukaryota, Metazoa, Chordata, Actinopteri, Cypriniformes, Leuciscidae. The record is from RefSeq and is a predicted model, not a curated record.